This 67-nucleotide transfer RNA is filed under the name Amphioplus laevis. RNAcentral's name for it is "tRNA-His". Lineage: Eukaryota; Metazoa; Echinodermata; Ophiuroidea; Amphilepidida; Amphiuridae. The record is from RNAcentral.
ACUCAGUUAGUUUAUUUGAAAAUAUUAGUUUGUGGUACUAAAGAUGGGCAAUGGAGCCCACUGGGUC